Molecule: non-coding RNA, 207 nt
Organism: Oryza meridionalis
Lineage: Eukaryota; Viridiplantae; Streptophyta; Magnoliopsida; Poales; Poaceae
Source: Rfam
UGGGAACUCAGUUUUGUACUGUUUAUCUCCAACGUUUGACCGUACGUUUUAUUUGAAAUUUUUUAUGAUUAGUAUUUUUGUUGUUAUUAGAUGAUAAAACAUGAAUAAUACUCUAUGUGUGACUAUUUUUUUUAUUUUUUUUCAUAAAAUUUUCAAAUAAAACAGAUGGUCAAACGUUGAACACGGAUACCCAUGACUGCACUUAUU